Molecule: long non-coding RNA, 388 nt
Organism: Hyaena hyaena (striped hyena)
Lineage: Eukaryota; Metazoa; Chordata; Mammalia; Carnivora; Hyaenidae
Exons: 3
Source: RefSeq, a predicted model, not a curated record
GGCACCUUUCAAAUUUCAUUCAUUCAUGCACCCACAGAAUCCAUAACAGAGCCUGGCAUUAGAGGUCUCCCGUUUUUUCAGUUCAGAGUUCAAGGAGAGCUGUUUGGAUGUUUCACCAUUGCCCUCAAAUGACUCCAGGCUCUAAGUAUCGAGGGACAUUGUGGCAGAGUUGCAGAUGUAGACAGUCUACAAGUGAAGUGCUCUUACUAAUGAACCCAUGUUCUCUUGAGUCAGAAGGGAAGAUUGGCUGAGUGCAAGCACUGGAAAUAUCCUUCCUCUCUUCUGAAGUCUGGAAGUAGGGGUUUUAGGAGCUCUGUGCCAGGAACCAGGGACCGAGACCAAAUACAAACUUCUUAUCAUCUCACAUCAUAGCUGUUUUGACAGGGAA